GAUGAACGCUAGCGACAGGCCUAACACAUGCAAGUCGAGGGGCAGCGGGAGCGAAGCUUGCUUUGCUUGCCGGCGACCGGCGCACGGGUGAGUAACACGUAUGGAACCUGCCCGCCACAGGGGGAUAACCGGGAGAAAUUCCGACUAAUACCCCGUAUGCUCACGGUAGCGCAUGCUACAGAGAGGAAACCGCGAGGGGUGGCGGAUGGCCAUGCGUCUGAUUAGCUGGUUGGCGGGGCAACGGCCCACCAAGGCGACGAUCAGUAGCCGGACUGAGAGGUUGAACGGCCACAUUGGGACUGAGAUACGGCCCAGACUCCUACGGGAGGCAGCAGUGGGGAAUAUUGGGCAAUGGGCGCAAGCCUGACCCAGCAACGCCGCGUGAAGGAAGAAGGCUUUCGGGUUGUAAACUUCUUUUGUCAGGGACGAGUAGAAGACGGUACCUGACGAAUAAGCCACGGCUAACUACGUG
Molecule: ribosomal RNA, 472 nt
Filed under: uncultured bacterium
Lineage: Bacteria
Description: bacterial SSU rRNA
Rfam family: Bacterial small subunit ribosomal RNA
Source: RNAcentral